AUCCCUCUAGUGAUAUGUGGAAGAUGUUUUAAUUGUUCUUUCUAGAAGAGAUAGCGAUAUUCUCUUGAAUAGUUUUCAACCCUAAAACUUAACUAUCAUAGACACACCCACUGCCGCGAUCAUCUUUUCAAUCAUCCAUCGCCGUCAUCACCAACUAGCGCAACCCAUCCUUCGUAGCCUCCUAUCUCCAAUCACCAUCUAUUGCCAUCAUCCCCUUCAAUCACCAUAUACCAUCACCAUCCACCAUCAUCCACUGCCGCCAUUAACCAUCAAUCAUCACGCAUCAUCGCUACCAUCACCAUGCAUCAUCCGUCAUUGCAAUCGAACCUUCCUCCUCCACACCAACCGGGCGGGAUCAAACGCCGCCACUACGCGGAUCAGGGGCUCGGCAGCCAGAAUCUCCGGCGGUUCAAUCGUCAAUCGACACCACUUCACUGUCCGGCGUUCCCGUGGCGGUUUCACCGAAAAUCUUGAUUCCGCCAGUGUCUGCACUAUCCCUGGCGGAUAUUAUGGAGAACCCCCGACAUGGGGUUUCGAAUUUUGCAUUUUCGGUUCCUUUCUCAUGGAUCUAAUGGACACAUAGGUCACUACAGGCAAGAAAGCUCAGAAGUCGCCACAAAAGCCAAAUCCGGGACAAUGGACAAAGCCCAUCCAGAAGAGUAGGAGAGCAGAGUCGGAAUCACAUACGGUCUAGUCCAUAGUGAAUCCGAAUAAGGAUCAAAAUUUUCAUCCAAUAGCUAGGCUUCCAGAUCAUUUUUUCACUUUCAUCUUCUUACUUUUGAAUAUGUUUCCCUUUGCCAUUGUUCGUUGCCGGUGAGAAAGGAAUGAGGUUACCGUAGUUACAAAGACCAGCGUUCCAUACAGCUAUACUUGUAGAGUCGGUGGGCACUUUGUAUGCUCGCUUACGGUCGUCUAGGAGGAAUAAAAUUUGGGAAUUUCAUUUCAAAAAAG
Molecule: long non-coding RNA, 951 nt
Filed under: Linum usitatissimum (flax)
Lineage: Eukaryota; Viridiplantae; Streptophyta; Magnoliopsida; Malpighiales; Linaceae
Description: long non-coding RNA (LUSI_LNC004775)
Source: RNAcentral